This 28535-nucleotide long non-coding RNA is filed under the name Ananas comosus (pineapple). RNAcentral describes it as "long non-coding RNA (ACOM_LNC015466)". Lineage: Eukaryota; Viridiplantae; Streptophyta; Magnoliopsida; Poales; Bromeliaceae. The record is from RNAcentral.
CCAGUAGUGUCGUGCUGCUCAAUAAAAUACACACUACAACAAAGACGGUAUAUAGUGACACUUUUAAAUAUCAGUACAGAUAAAAAAAAUAUUGCUGGUUAAAUUACCAAUACUUUUUAAAAAUGUUACUAUAUGUGAGGUCGCUAUAUAUAGCUAGGACUACCUUGGUAUUUGGCAUCCGUUCCUCCAGCGAUCUGUGAUGAAAGGAUACAUGACGAUCGUAACCUUCUACAGUCCCUGCGAGAUCCUCACGGCCGAACUCUAGCCGCCGGAAUCCUAUCUCGUCGGCUACGGCGGCGGAGGGGGAGAAGGGAAGAUGGUGAUCAAUUUUUUUUUUUUUUAAUUAUUUGUAAUCGGGUCCAGUGAGCUCGGUGUGGUUUGUUGAGUAGAAGAAUUUUUUACUUUUGAUUGGAUUGAGCUUUAUAUUUAGGUCUUAAUAGGUUUUUUUAAAAAAAAAUUGGCAUAAAUAGGACACUCAUAUAAAAGUGUUCUAAAAAUAUAUCUCUAUAAUCUAAUUCUUUUGUAGUGAGUUCUAUCUAAAUAGUAUGUAUGAGCAAAAUUAUAUAUGCAUUAAAUAAAAACUUUAUGUAGAAGCAGAAGUAUCAAAUUGACUGAUGCUGAAAGCAGAAUUAGCAUUAUGUUGCGUGAGUGAGAAUACUACAACAAAAAUGGUCUAUAGCGAUACUUUUAAAUAUAGGUACAUAUCAAAAAAGUGCUACUAACUAAAAUUACCGACACUUUUAAAAAGUGUUGCUAUAUGUGGGGUCACUAGGUAUAUAGUGACAGUUAAAGAGUGUCGCUAUAACCUAAAAGAGUGCUGCUAAUUUACCAACACUUAUUUAAGGAUUUAGCAACUGCCGAAACUCUAUCUCGUUGGCUGCGGUGGCGGAGGAGGACGACAAUAAAGGCUCUUCGUCUAGAAUUUCAGUGGAUUGAGUGAAGAGAGAAGAAAAGAUGGUAAUUGAUUUUUCUUUUUUUUUUUCUUUUCUGUUUGUAAUUGGGCCAAAUGGACUGGAUUUGGUGGGUUGAAUAAAGUAAUCUUUUAUUUUUGGUUGGAUUGGGCUUUAUAUUUAGGCAUUAGUAGAUGUGUUUUUAAGUUUUAGCAUAAAUGGGACACUUACUCAAGAGUGUCCCAAACAUGUGUCCCUAUAACCUAAUUCUAUUGUAGUGAAAAAUGCGAUACGAAAGUAGCCUGUUUGUUUCUGUGAGUAAUAUUAUAUUUGUAUGUAUUAUAAUGUGUGGGUUAUGAAAUGAAUUGAGAGCUAUAUUUUUAGCUGCUUUUGUCUCUGGCUCCGUUUUAGCCGAUGGUGGUUGAUGACUCUCAAUCUCGCAUUUUAUGUUUCCAAUUUUAUAGAAGUACUAUUUGAACAGAUGUAUUUAAAUGGAAUUUAAUUGGCAUAAUAAUGUAGUCUAAACAAGGCUUUAAAAAAAAAUCACUGCACAUAACAGUAGUAGCUGGUGUCAAAUAAAGAUCUUAUGCUUUUAGCUGGCUUUAGAAACUUAGUUUAAGUGGCUACUCAUUUGUUUGUCAAAAAAUUCUCCCAUUUUUUGGGUUCUAAAGUUAAAAAAAAUAAAAAAAUAAUAAAAGGUUAAUCAAAUGUCAUCUGUUGUUUGCCAUGGUAGGGGUGAAUAGGUACUCUAACAUAGCAAAUGUUAAGCGUUCGCAUGUGAAUAAUUUUACAUCGUGUAAUGAAUAAGAUAGUAAAAAAUUUGAUAUAUACUAACGGAUCAAAACCUAAUAGACUUAAACUUCUAGAUUGAAUGAGUUUCAUUAUACACGUCACAUCCUUAAAUUUAUAUGGAUCUGAACUGAGCUUGGAACUCUCUUAUUGCAAAACAACGUAAAAUAAAAAUAGAUGCAAAGUUUCUUGAGAAAAUAAAUAAAUGAGAGAGAGAGAAAGAGAGGGAGGGGAUGAAAAAGAAACUUUAAAAAUUCACUACUACAAACUAAGUCCUCUCUUAGAAAUAAGAGAGAGAGAGAGAGAAAGAGAGAGAGAGAGAGGGGAUGAAAAUGAAAAAAAAAAAAAGAACUUCAAAAAUUCACUACUACAAACCAUGUCCUCCUCUCUUUAAUCUCUAAAAGCCAGAUUACCUAGCAUUGCUUGUGGACCUGUUUAAAACUUUUUUCAAAUGAUCUUUUUAAAACACAUAUUUUUAUUCUUUAUAAUUGAAUAUCUUUUUACUCAAAUCUUAAAAUACUCUUAGUCGUAACAGUGAUUGUCUCUUUCAGACGCGUCUGAUAAGCCAACUAAAAUGGACCAUUUACUACGAUCAAUUCACCUUCCUCCGAAAGAUUAGUAUACUAACCAUGUACAUAAUUUUUUUAAUGUUUUCUACUUAGGAGGAAGACCUUCUUUAGUAUACUAAACAUUUACUACGAUCAAUUCACCUUUAUCCGAAAGAUUAGCAUAAAGAAUGUGAUUAGCAAGGAUUCACUAAGACUAUUUUAUUAGGACAAGUGAGGUUAGGAAAGUUCCUUUGUAUUCAAAUAGAAUAAAGUUAAAGAUACUAUAUCUCAUAAUAAAUAAUAUCCUUUUGGUUGCUAUAUCUUCAUGUAUAUUUAAAAGUUGACCUACUUCUCCUAGGUCAACUCUAGGGAUAGUUUUAAUUAUUAUUAUUUUUUAGAUAGGUAGCAUGCUACCCGUUUUAUUUAUUUCAUUUAGAAAUAAACUUAACUGGAAAUGCGAAUCAUACUCUAGGAAUAAUCCUAAAUACAUAUUUUGCAUAUCCAAGUCCCAACUUCUAAGUUAAGUUAGAAGGGAAUGGAUAAGCCUAUAAUUAGCUUAUAGAGUUUAGCCAAAAUGCUUAUAUUUUAUUGGUAAAAAUGUACCGAAUUUACCUAAAUUAUGAAUUAUUUUGAAUCAACAACUAAUUCUUUCAAAAUUUUAAUUUUACUAUUCAAUCUUUUCAAUUUAUUUGAUUUGAAAUUGUCAUGUUAUUUUGACUACAAAAUUUGAAUGCAUUAUUUUUAGAGGAGCAAUACUAUCUGUACACUCUAAAAACGUUAUAAAUCUUACAUCUUUUUUUGUCCAAGAACCAACUUUUAGUUCGUAUCCUUUUAUUUUUUAUAUUAAAAUUUUGAAGAGGCUCGUAAACAUUAGAAUGAAGGAGUAUAAUGGGUGAAGCUACUAUUUGGGGUUUUUGGAGUACCACUAAUUCUAUAUAAUUCCUUAAUUAUAAAAAUUAGACAUUUAAAAUUUUUAUAAAAUUAGAUCUAAUGCACCGCUUUUAUUUUUGUUUUUUACUGUUUAAUAUAUAUUUUUUUAGAGUUCAAAUAUAGAAAAUAUAUAUAUUUAUAACAGUUUACUGUAUUUAAUAAGCGGUGAUUUAUUCACCCCAUAAAACUAGUUUUGUAAAUAAAGUUUUAAAUAAUUAUUUUUAUAAUUAUAAUAUUUUUUAAGUCUAUUAAUAAAACAUUAUCUAGUAGUCAUAUCUGCUUGUAAUACACGUCACAUAUAUUCAAAAAAAACCCUAGCAAAUUUAUAAUAGCCCAUAUAGCCCUCUUUUUAUCACGUAAGUGUCGUAUUUCCAUUUUUAAGUUGAAUAUGGUGAAUAAAUCACCAUAUUCAUAUCAGUAUUUUAGUCUCCUUUUAACUUAGAGAGGAAAAAAGUACAAAAAGAAAUACUGUGAAUCAAUUACUGUAUUUAAAUACGGUGAUUAAAUCACCAUGUUUAACUUAAAAAGACACCUACUGACCUAAGCGCUCGCGUGGCAACAAAAAAGCUAUUUAUGCAAAUAUAAAUUGUUUAGGAUCAUUUGAGAAAAAAAAAAUUGAGGGGGUUAAAUAUAAAAAAAAACAAAAAAUAUAUUUGCAUAAAUUAAUAAUACUUAUUGCUACUGAAUUUUUUUGACACUUUAUUUAGCCCAAUAUAGUUAGCAAAAAUUUAGGCAAGCCUCGGCCCAAAUUAAUAUCCCUAAUUAACCAUUUCAACUACUCCUAUAUACUCUUGUCAAAGCAUUUUUAGAAAAUUGAAAUUAAAAUGAAAAUUGAAAUUGAAAUUCAUAUGGGAGCAAUUUGGAUACAAAAAAUGACAAAUAUUUCUCCUGAAAUUCAAUAGCUCAAAAUUAUUAAAUAGUACGAAAUAACUAUUUUUUCCAUGUCUGAAUUCGAGACUUUCAAAAUUGUUCAAUAACGUGGGCUUGCGAUAUAACUGUUUUCUCUAUAUCUGGGCUCGAGACCUGAGACUUUCAAAAUUGUUAAAAUACACGGACUUAUGAAACAACGGUUUCCUUCAUAUCUGGGCGGGCUCGAGACUUUCAAAAUUGUUAAAUGACUCGAACUUGAAUUAAAUAGAAAAAAAUUAACUAUGCUGGGAGAUAAGCGUGACUAGAGCUCAGAAAAGUUAAGCUGAUGGAGAAUGGUAUUAUUAUAUAUUUUUUUAUAUUUAACAAAAAUUGUUGUGCAACAUCGUAAUUAAAUUACAAAUUUAAAAUCGAACUGCUAGAAUGGAUGUAUUGUAAAUUGAAUGAAUUUUAUUUUUAUUUUUUUGCUUUGUGAUCAUUGUAAUUCAUGCAAACAUUAAAAAGUAGUAAAACAGUAAGAUCUAUUUUUCACUUAAAUUUAUUGUCACGCCCCGGAUUACACUUUUCCCGGGCGCGCCGACAAAUCCGCCGUAUACAAAGGAAUUUCCCCUGUAUACGAAGCGAUAGCUGUACCUGUAAAACAAACACUACUACGAAUAGUAGUAGAGAGCUGCUAGAGAAAACAGAAGCUAACAAACUGAGUUUCAUAUACAUAGUCCGNCAUAUUAAUCUUUUUUUUUUUUUUUUUCUUAAAGACUAUUUGAAUUUUUGCCAAUUCUAUAACAAGAGUAUAAGAUCUAUGGCCCUUUUUGGAGUGUAUGAGUAAAAUUUUUCUACGUGACAAUUCGAACAUGUUCAAUUUUUCAAAAUUUUAAUUUUCUUUACUCUAUAUUUCAAUUUAUUUGAUUUGGGCUAGUGAUUUUAAGUUAAUUAUUGCUUUAACCAAUUUAUAGUUACGAGCAUUAUAUAAAAUGUACUAACUAAAUUUAUAAAAAUAAACGGUAUAUUUAAAUUUGAAAGUUAAUGUUGUUGACUAAUAUCAAACAAAUUGAAAAGUUGGAUAUUAAAAUCAAAAUUUAAACGAUUGGAUAGUUGGUUCAAAAUGAAUUAUAAUUCAGAUAAAUUAUAUAUUUUUUAUUAUUUUUUAAUUAUAAAAAUUAAGAAUCAUUCUUGCAACGUGAGCAAGAUUCUGAAUAGUAUUCAUGUGACUUGUGAGUAAAAAAAAUGAUGAAAUGUUAAGAACGUGGGCCACCAAAUUUGUGUUGUUAUUUUUUUGAAAAAAAAAUUACAUAAAAUGUUUAUAUAAUUAAUGCAGAAAAUUAGAAAUGGAUUGUUGUUGCUUAUAAUUUUUAAAGCCCAAAAUAUUCAUUUGGCAAUAAAUUAAAUAAAAAUUGAAAAGCAAAUUUUCUUUCGCUGUGUAAUUUUUUUUAAAAAUAAGUUGUCUUCUUUCAUUUGUUUGAAGUGUAUUAUAUAUUAACCAACAUUAAUUAUUAAAGUAAAAGUCUUUUCACCAUUACAUCAAAUUAUAGAUAAUUAGUAUUUACAACAAAUAAUAAAAAAAUAACAGCGAUACCCAAUAAUAGGAUAACAUAUUUCACAGAUACCGACCGUCGCUAGAGCAAGUAGCAAAGGGCUUAGUGGUUGGUACUCGAGACCCGAGUUCGAAUCCUAGUUGAUUCACAUUUCCAGCUAAGUUUAUUUCUAAAUGAAAUAAACGAAGCGGAUAGCAUGCUACCUAUCUCAAAAAAAAAAAAAAAAAACAUAUUUCACAGAUAUAAGAAGACGUGACUAGUAUUAAUGAUUAUAUUCCUCUUAUGUUAAAUCCUAUAAUCUUUUUUAGUACAUAGAGAAAAUGAAUGGGCAUAUUGGUUUCAGAGGCUUAUUUUGCAUUUAACCUCUUCAUAAAUUUUUUCACAAAUAAUCCGGUAAAUUUAUAAUUGUAAAAUUGAUCCUAUUUCUACUACGCAGAAAAUCUAAUAAUAGGACAAAAAAAGCCUAAAUAUACUUUACAAAACCUAAGUCAAAAAAAGAAGAAGAAAAUCUAAUAAUGGGACAAAAAAAAGCCUAAAUAGAUCCUUAAUUCAUGUACCUCCACAUUAGCGAAUAAUGUUUUUUGGGUUCCAUUAUGGACCGGGCCGAGCCACCAAUAAGCAGAUAUUCAAUGUAUUCAAUUUUCUUCUCUUCAUUUAUUCAACAUUUCAUGAAUACUUGUUUCUAAUUAUUUAUAAAAAAAUAAAUCUGAAUGCUCUUUUACUAAAGUUCAAAAAUACUGCAUAUUAAAUAUAAAAAUAUGUAAAUAUCGUUCUCUAACAGUUUAAAUUUUUAGAAUACAACGGUUAUUUCACACGGUAUCAGAAUAGGAGAUACUGAAUUCGAGUUAUGUCAGGCUCCUAACAUUAUUAAUUUUCUCCCAUUAAAUUCAAGUCUACAUUAUAGGCCUUGGAAAAAAGUCUCUAGCUCAGACGUGAGGGGGAGGGUUACAUUUAAGCUUUCAGAAUACAAUGGUUGUUUCACACUGUAUUUUGAGAUUAAUAAAUUUAAGAAUAUUUCCAAAUAUUUGAUGAAUUAUUUUUAAAAUUUCAAUUUUACUCUCCAUUAAGCUAAAAACUUAAUAAACUUAACAUCACUUUUAAUAUUUUUUAAAUACUACAAAUAUUAAGGUGUUUGGUUCAGGGUGUGUUUGGUUCCACGUAAAGCCGUGGAAAAAAAAAUUUCGGGAAAAAAAAUAUUUUACGUCGUUUAUGUUUGAUGUGUAGGAAAAGAAAAGUAAUUUUCCACGACGAUUGUUUGGUUGAAAGGAAAAAAAAAGUUAUAAAUAAAAAUUAUUAUAUAUAUUUUUUAUUUUACAUUUUUUAUAUUAUUAAUAUAUAAUUUUUAUCAUAUUAUAUAUAUUAGUAUUAUAGUUUAUAUUUAUAAAUAAAAUAUAUUUAAAAUAUAUUAUACAAUAAUUAAAUAUAUAAUAUAAUAUAUAAUAGUAUAUAUUUAAUACUAUAAAAUAAAUUACUGGAUAUAAAAUAUUAUAUAAUAAAUAUAUUUAUAAAUAAAAUAUUAUUUUUAAAAUAUGUUAAAUAUAAAUAUAUAUUUAUAUAUUCUAUAUAUAUACAUAAAAAAAAAAAAAAAGUUGGGGGAGAAAGUCCACCGCACCCUACACCAUAGACCUCUGCUCUCUCGCACGGUCGCACGAGUGGGGUAAGCCUAACGUGAUGCGGCGUGCUUGUGAACCCGCCCCUCCAACAUUGCCCAAAUGUUCCAGGCGAAAUGAAAUUCCGUUCAUCAUAAUUUUUGUCUAAAAAAUUUCUUGUUCCUCCGAAGAUUUUUUUAUACGCGACAAACCAAACGCUUGAAAUUAUACUUUUUCAUUGAAAAUUUAUUUCUUCGGGGCGAUUUUAAAAAGACCGCAAACAACCUCUCAGCGUAAAAUAAAACAAUAAAUUUAUUUUCGGUAUGAACAUAUAUUUUUUUCGGCUUGUUUCGUUACGUAAAAAACUAUUUUUUUCAAUCGAAUUUGAAAAUAAUGAAGCUUUUAUUUUUCUAUUUUGCGAUUCAAAAACAAUGAAGACUCAAGCUUCCGUAAUUUUUCAUAAUCAUUUUUUCAACGCAAAACAUUAAACAAAUAUAUUUUUUUUCUUUCAAUCAGACAAAUAUUAAUGCAAAUUUUUUUUUCCCUAUAAAUCAAAUAAUACAAAACGUACUUUUUUUAGCCAAAUAUUUUUUUAUAAUUUUUUUUUUUUAACAAUUAUACAUUGAACCAAACGGGCUCUAAACUAGAAACUUAAUAAACUUAUCAUCAGAAAGAUAAUUUUCAUAAAUUUAAUAUUUUUUAAAUACUACUAAUAAUAAUAGUAAUAAAAUAAAAUAUUAAAUGCUACUAAUAAUAAUAAUAGUAAUAAAAUAAACCAUUUUUUGUUAUUUUAUAUAUAUAUAUAUAUAUAAAUUUAAUAAAAUAACCCAUUCGUCGUUAUUUUCCGUGCGUUGCACAUUUUUGAACGGGCACUCGGUAGUCAAUUCCUUCGCCCCCCUUCGCCUACCUCUCUCUCUCUGUCUAUCUCUCUCUCUCUCAGAUCUCGCGUCGCCCCAAGCCCUAACCCUAACCCUAGCGACCCCCGAGGGGAAGGGGGAUCGGGAUACGAGGCCUCCGGUGGCGUUGGAGGUGGCAGAUCCGGCGACCGGCGGGGGCACGCGCCGCGGCGACGGUCCGUGGGCGUGUUCGUUCACGGAUCCAUAACCGGUGAGCUCGAUAUCGUCCUCUCUCUCCCUCUCUCUCUCUCUAAUGCGAUUUGGGAAUGCCUCAAGUAGUAAUGCGGUGAAUCGAGGUCGGUAUGCAAUAACAAUUGCUAAUACUGGAUUAGAUUCGGCGAAUUGUGAGUACAGUUUUCUGGUUCGAGGUGAGUAUGCAUUGACGAUUGUUAAUACUAGAUUAGAUUCGAGAAUUGUAGUUAGUUUUUUGAAUCGAGGCGAUUAUUACCAACAAUUGCCAAUACUAUGUUAGAUUCAACGAGUUAUGAUUAUAGUUUUUUCUGAAUCGAGGCGAGUAUGUAACAGCAAGUGCUAAUACUAGAUUAGAUUCGGUGAGUUGUGAGAGUAGUUCUCUUUGUUUCUUAGUUUAGCAUUAUUGUUUCUUUAGGUCGUGCUAUAUUUUGGGGACGAAUUGUGGCGGAUAUCUUUUUUAAUGCCUGGUUAACCUGCUAGUUUGGGAUAACGGAGAGGGAAAAAAAAAUCUUUUUUGCAUUUGGUUUUGCAUGGAUAGCUAAAGUGAUGGGGAUAAGUAUGAUGACUUGGGGGUGUAAUUGAGGUUAAAGUGGGAUAUAAUGCUAAUUUUGGGAUCGUUCCAAACUUGAUCCCUGAAUUUUUGCCCAAAUUCUAAUAAAUUCUUUUUCAAUUGUAACAAUUUAGUACCUUGAGUUUGUUCUUUGUAGCAAGUAAGUUCCUUUAGUCUACCUUUUGAAAAUAUGUUACUGCCGCGCCAACAUUAGACUUUCUUUUGAGAAAAUUGAAAUUUUGAGGUGAAACAAAUUGAAAUUUUGAGGUGAAAUUGAAAGUGAAGACAAUCUUUGGGGAUGAAAUUGAAAUUGACAUUAAACUUUAGAGAUGAAAUUGAAACUAUAAGGAUAAAAGUGAAAUGAGGGAAACUUUUGUGACUAAAUUUUUACAUUAUACUUUGAGGAUGGAAUUGAAUUCCAGCUCAAUCUUCAAGGACUAACUUUUUUUCUCUUUGGGGUAUGAGUAGUUGCAGUAGUAUCAGUGUUCUAAAAAGUGCUGCAUUAUAUGAGUAGUAUCAGAUGUAAGCCUUUUUAUUUUGAUCGCUAUAGUUUAAUCCUUGGAAUACUUUUCUUACAUAAGUUACCCAUUACUUUGAUAUGUAUAAUGAGUAUUGCGCAUAAGUUUUCACUUAUCUAUCAAUUAUGUGUGACUAUUAUGCGUUUAUUAUGUGAAAGUUUGGUCUUUCUGUAUAUGUCUCCUUAUUAUUGAUUAAGAGUCAUGUUUAUAUAUUAUUAAAAUUAUCUAAAUUGCUAAUAGUUUUAUGGCUAAAUCACAUAUAUGCCAGCAAGUGCGUCCGCAUACCACGUAUGUGCUUAAUUGCCUGCAGACUGCUGAAUGUUCUUUAGAACAUUGGAGUAUGAAAAUAUUUCUCUACAACACAGCCAAAUGGUAUUUGGAUCUCUAAAUUAUUUUCAAAUUUAAUUUUCUUUGAAUAGGAUAACUCACUUCUCAAGGGGAACCAAAUAUCUUGCUAAUUGGAACUAUAAAGAUUUGACAAUAGUAGAAAUCAAACUUGUUGGUUGUAAUUACAUGCUAAUAUUCCAACACACAUAAAUUGUGACCAAAAGUUGCUUUGGCAUCCAAACAGGCCGUAGUUCACAUGUUACUCUAGAAUAAUUGAACCUGACCAGAAUAGCUAUUUCUCCAAUUUUUGUUAUAAUCUUUUUUUUCCACAAAAUUGAUUGUGCUUACCAGCUAACAGCUCCAUGUCCUAUUUCAUGCAGCACCUCGUAGAUGGUGACGAAACUCAUCUUUUAUGCUGAAUCCUAGCUUUACCUAUGUUUGGAGUACCUGUAGUGGUUCCUAAUAGUAGUCCUGUUAUUCGACGUGCUGGUAGCAAAGCUGUUAUUUCUGAUUACGGUAUAUGAUUUGGAUCAGCUUAAGAUUCUUUUAAAUUUUGCUUGUAAGCAUGGUACACUAACUAAUUGAAUAUCUAGGUUCUAGUGAAUCUGGAAUUGCAAACGAAGAAAGCUUCUUGUUUCCAUUGGAGGUAAAUGAAAUGAAGGGUGCAAGUGUUGCAAUAAUGCCUUCACCAGUAUUCUUAUGGCGAUUCAAGGUUAUUAUGUCUUACUUGACUCAUUGUUUCUUUUUCCGAAUUUUUGCCAUUCCUUCUGAAGCUAUGUGCUGGGAAUCGAUAUUUCAUUCAUGUUGUGUUCAGAAUGGAAUUUACUUGUUGUCUGUCAGGCCAAAUUCCUUUUACAUGUAGAAACCGUUUCAUAUCUGCAAAAUCAGCAGCAUAUUGUGGUUAUUGUGGAGGGUUUUUUUAUUGACUGCUUUCCUUCUCUUUUGCCAAAUAAAAUCCUGAACUUGUAUUCAAGGUUAAAAAGUUGACUUACAUGAAUGUGAGCAUUUCUGGAGAAUUUUGAGCUUUAGACAGUAUAUCAGAUGCGAGGAUAUCUUACCUGUGGAGGGCUUGUUAAUAUGUUGAUAAUAGUAGCCUUAUGCUCAGAUUGUUCUGCAGCUUCCUUCAAUGGGUCAUUUAUUUAUCAUGUACUCACUAGCAAGCACUGGAAAUAACUAAAUACCUUAACAACCUUAUCUGCAGUCUGAUAGCAAAAGAAUAUAAUUCCAUCUGACGUUCUAUUCCUGAUCUUUAUCAAUCUGUGGCUGCUUUUUUAACAGACGAUCUUAAAACAUUUAAAGAACUUCUCAAUCAAUAAUUUGAAUUAAUUUUGAGAAGGGUAUUUAUAUUCUAUUUUUUAUCUAAUCCCCAAUUGUCUAUCCUCUAUUAAUCUCCUGGUUCUGUAGCGCAUUGAGUGGUCUAUGCUAUCCUAUCUCUACCAUUCUCUUGCUUUGCAGGAGUAAAUUUUGGGUGUUGAUUUUGCUGCACUAACAAAUUAAACCCUCUGGUGUUAACUGAUAUGCAUAUUUCAGGUAUUAUUGUUCCUCUUAUGGGGUAUCUGCUGUUGCAAGGUUAGCUUAAUUGUAAAUUCACAAGUUUUGGGAAUCCUAAUUAAGACAAAGAAAUCCUCUUGUAAUUUUGGUUAUGCUUUUCUAUUUGCAGAUUAGUUGGGACUCUGUUAUGAGAAUGAGCGCAAAUCUUCGAGAUUUAUUUCUUUACGAGGCUUUCUUGUACUAUAAUCCUCUUCUUCUUGUGGUGAGUAUUGCCAUAAAUUCUCUUCCUAUAGUUUCAAGAUAUCAUUAUGGAUUUGUCUUCAUGCAAGUUGAGCCUUUGAGGCCCUUAAUCUUUAAUGAGACUUUAUUUUGACAUAUCAGACAUUGACGGUUUGGCUUUGGGGAAUUAAUCUAUGGGUUUUCUCACAAUCAUCGGUAAACUAUGCAAAAGUAUUUGAUCUUGCCCAAAAUCAUCUAACACACCGUGAAAUAUGGAAGGUAUGUCUAUAAAUUUUGUAUGAUGAUUUGUUCAGAUUUUAUCAAUCUUUUCAGAAGCAGACCAAAUUAUGUUCAUUGAAGUUGCUGUAGAAUGCUUCACAUUGUCGUUAAAUUAUGCUAUAGGGUUUAUGCAUAAAAUUAUUCGAUGCAAACUAAUCUCCCAUCCAUGAUUAGAUCAUCCAGAAUUUAUGUGUUAACUUCUUAACCAAACUAAGAAAAUUUAGUUUUGUCCUGAGUAAAAUGUUAGGGUUUAGCUGGAGUAAUUUAAAGAUACAAUCCACAAUCAGCACACUACAGAAGGUGGCCCUGUGUGCUCUUUUUGAAACCAGAAUGAAACCAAUAUUGCAUCCCUCGGUGAUAAUAUGCCCUCAUAGAAUAUAUAAAAUGCUUUGGAAUUGUAUUCUUUUUUCUGGAUGGACUUUACGUUUCUUUGGUUGCUUUUACUAUUUUGCUGAUGCCUUUUUGCUUUGUUUUUCUAUAUUUAAUUGUAUUCUACUUCUGCUGCACUUUCUAAAAUCUGGAAGUCAGCAUGUUUCCCAGUUGGUUUUUUAUAUGAAACAGAUGGGAUUUUACAUUGUUUUUCUCCAGUUCCAUAUGUAUUCUACAUCCUCUUAGACUAAAAAAUUGACCUUUCUGAAUCAAUUUCUAUGUAUUCUUCCCAUUUUAAUUUAGAUUGGCACUUUGAUAAUUCUGUGUUUUAUGCAUUGUGAUCCUUUGGCAGUGUGCUACUUGGAUGACCAUUGUUGUCCCCACUAGUAUGACAGCGUACCUUUACCUCUACUCACAUGGAGAAGUAACACUUGCAGCGUCACAACCAGUGUAAUAUCAGUUUCUCCUUAAGUAAUUAUUAAUGGUCGUUUAUCCUGCAUUUAAUGCGUUGUAGAGAAAAUUCUUUCUGUAUGUUUCCCCAUUUGGUUCUCUUUCCUCCUUCAAUGAGUUUACUAUUUCAACUUGAUAUUAGCAUAUUUAAAUGCAAAUACAUAUUUUUCUGUGAAUUAGUCUAGUUUUGGUAUAACUUCACUGCCAUCCUUCAACAGAAACCAUCCGUAGCAUUUUCUGUAUAAUGUUCAGACUUGAGAAAUUGGUAUCCCAUCACUUUCCCGACUGUAAAUUUGAGGACAAAAUUAAAUUGGAAAAAUAAAGUUAAAUAAGGAUAUCGCGUGAUGUUGAUCUACCAGUAUUUCUUUAAGACGGUUGGUUAAAAGAAGAGAAAAAGUAGUAGACUGAUAAUUCGAUUGUAAAGGAUGUGUUUUUAGUAAGUUGUUAUUUUGUUGUUUCUCUGUAAUGCCAAUACAUGAUAAUUGGAUCUGUAUUUUAUUUAACCAGUUGACCCACACCCAGUAUUUGUAUGACAUUAUAUAGUAUAGUUUUGUAUUUGGAUUUGAGUUUAGAUAAAUAAAAAAAAAAAUCUAUCAUCAUUUCUGGGUAAAGAUUGUGUAUUAUGCUGGAUUGGACUGAUGCCAUUUUAAUUUAGCAUAGUCGUUCAUGAGCUCCUAUGUAGCCUUUACAAUAUCAUAAUCAAGAUUCAAGCAUCAGUGAACAUACUUGUAACUCCUUGCUGCUGUAUAAUUCUGGUAUCAUUCUCCUGUUCAAUCUUUGACUUCUUUAAUGAUGUUCUUUAUUGGAGAACCAUCAUUAAUAGCUCUUUAUUUGCUCAAACUUGCAAGUCACAACUGCAAGUGAAAGGACUUUCCUGAAUGCUAGCAGUUCUUCUUUUUUUUUUUUUUUUUUUUUUUGGUCUUUUUGCAUUUGAUUGGUUCUUUUGACUAUCAAUUUUUUUUUUUUUUUUUUUUAAUUAUAAUUUGAAGCCCUUCUGAGUUGGAUCAGGACUUGUCAAAUAAUAUUAUGUAUCAUGUAUGUAAGGUUAGCUUGUAAUGUAACGGAGAACCAAUAAUUUUCAAACUAUAAUUGGUCAAGAUAACUGGGAUUUUGUCAAACUUACUUCGAUUACUGGGGUUUAAGCUUGUCUUUUAUGGUUUGACUUACUGGGUUCAUGCGUCAUUGGUCUUUGUGAAGAUUGUUGUUGGAUUUUGUUGGUGUGAACCAAGUCACUUAGCUUAAAGUGGAUUGUUUGGAAGUCUUUAAUCCACUCACUUCAGCCCAAGUUUAAAAUUGUGUAGAAAUCCUCUGCGAAGUCUCACUUUUGCCUCUUCUUUUGGGCCUUAAUUUCAAAUAAAGUGAGACGAAACCUGACAUGCUAAAAAGUGCACAAUUAAACGGCCUGGUAACUUUGCUCUGUAGUUCUUUGUAAAACGACCUUGGAUACCAUAUUAGCAGUAGAGAAGGAGAGUGCAAUGGCGAGGACAGGACAACACUUUAAUGGUCAGGGUGAGACACUGGAGUUCAUGAUGAGGUUACACACUUAGAAAACCAAAUUGCCCAAGAUAGUUAGUUGGAUUGGGUCAUUUAUUACGCUAAAACUCAAUUCCUAGAACUUUUUUUGGUUAUGAAGAUGGAAAAGUCAUCAUGGUGAAUGUUUAGAUUGAAAAGUUUGCUUUUGUACUUCAGAUUCCACAUGAUAAGGUAAAAGACAUCCCGAAUGCCUUUUUUGGGGCUGCUAAAAUUGGAAUGCGACAGUUUUGUUUCUAAACAACUAAAAACACCCUUUUUCUGCAACUUAUCUGUCUAAAAAGUGAAUGCUUUCUCUUUAGUUCUUGCACUCUUGAAUUAUUCUCCCCUCUUCUAAGGAGACUGUUCCUAUGGUUUUAUUCUAUCUAGGAAUCAACUGGUUCACUGUUAGAAUGUUGUGUUUUUCAGGUUUAGCAUGCUUUUAUGUGCUUUCGAGUUGAACAGCAAAUGUUAAUUAUUUAGUGCAUGUUGUGGUGAUAACUUACUUUGGAGGAAAAAUUUUACUUGUUGCCUGGAAGAAUUAUAGUUUUUCACUCUGAAUGUAGUAGUGGUUUUCACCUUAUUGCAAUGCUGUACCCUAAGAAUUGAUACUUAGCUUGUAGUUAUAAAUUGUAAAAACCAAGGAGAACUCAUUAAUGAUGUGUUCAUGUGUGUUUCACAUAUUGCAAACUCUUCUGAGCUUUUUCUUUGACUUUUUGCAGGUUUUUCUAUAUUGCAUUGUUCUGAUGCUCCUUAUAUCUCCAUUCGACAUUUUUUACUUAUCAUCACGCUAUUACUUGUUAAGGACAUUCUGGCGCAUAAUACUUCCAAUACAGGCAAGUUAUAUAGUUCUUUGAAGAAAGUCCUAUAUCAUGCUUUCUUUUAAAAGCUAUUAAGAAUAAAUUUGUUUAAUUCUCUGUUUUAGUUACUGGCACAUAAUACUUCCAAUACAGGGAAGUUACGUAGUUUUUUGAAGAAAGUCCUGUAUCAUGCUUUCUUUUAAGAGCUAUUAAGAAUUACUUUGUUUUAUUCUCUGUUUUAGUUAUGCCUUCGAGAUGGAGAUAAAUACUUACAUCGAAAUUUCUCUUCUUUCUACCUUCUAUCUUGUAACCAUGGCUAGAGGCCUUUUUAGAGAGAUUGCUUCUAGAUUCAGUGAGCCUAAUUUGGCCUAUCUUCCAACUGUCUUUUAUAGGUUUCAUGGCAAGUUCCUCUAUUUUCUAAUUUUUCUUCUUCUGAAGAUUGAUUUUUGGUCGAAAUAGGUUGCUAGAAAUUAGAAUCCAUCUUUUUGAGCCUUCUAAUCUUCUAGUUUUGCUCUUGUGGCUUGCUGACCUCGUAUUAUUAUGAAGAGAAUUGGAGUUGAAAUCUAGUCAACACAAUCAAGUCUAGCUAUGCGGAAAAAAUUAUGUUUGUCCUUUUUCCUUUUUCUUGUAUGCCAUUAUGUGAAGAGAGAAGAGAAAAGGGCAUUGAGAUUUCUUCGUAUCGGUCUCUUUUUUUUUUUUUUUAAGGAUAAGUGCUUUGUGGGUGUAAUGAUCUUCGGCCAUGUGGUUAAAGGCUCAUUUUGUGCUGCUAAAACUAGUGAUCGCAUUGGCUUGUUGCAAUUUUUAUUCUUGAAGAGAUGGUCUUAAAUUUCCGGUGUGUGAAGUGCAUUACUUUUGUCAGUGCGCUUGUAAAAUUUGUAUAAUUCUUGAAUUUCUGCAGAAGAUUAUUUCGAUAAUUUGGUGCUUUUGGUGUUAUUCAUUUUCUCUUGCUUGAUGCAGGCAAUUACUUUUUCUGAUUUCUUUUUGGCUGAUAUUAUGACGUCAAUGUCAAAGGUAUAUACUCUUUCAGCAUUUGUAAUUGCAAUUUACUCCUUACAUUUAAAUUUAGAGAGACUAUAAUGUCCACCUGCAGCAGAAAAACUUAAUGCUGCCAAGCAAACCCUCUACAUCAACUUUACUGAUGUGUUAAAAAUGAACUUGUUAUGAAUACCUUUUUGCUAAGGUUGUAUGGUUUCUUAUCAGGUGUUCUCAGAUUUGGAGCGGUCAGUAUGUCGGAUGGUUAACCGACAGGUUCGUAACAAAUGGUUCUACUGUACUCUUUGCUUUUACAUUGGCAAAAGAAAAUGUUUGUAUCUCCAGACAACUAGUUUUAUAGUUAUUGUGCUAAUGGCUUUCUCUUGAUUUGGAAAUUUAUUGUGCUGAUUGCCUCUUUUUCACCUGAAUAACCUUUGUUAGAUCAGUUUCUGAUCAAAUACCUCUAUCUGCUUUGAUUAUAUUUUCUCUCAUGUACGGAAUGAUCCUCACUAUUGAACUAAUGGGGGUCGCUGUGUUCUAACUUCUGCGAGACAAACUAUAGAUCAACAUGUAAUAUGAAUUAAUUUUUCGUUCAAAAUGUAAAUUUGAUCUUUGCAUGGGAACAGAAGAAAUUUAUCAAUAGUCUAUUUCAUAUAAUCAUGGGUUAAACCAUUCUUAAUAAGGAUGGACAAUUCUGCCAUGUACAGAAACCUCCUCCCCACACUUUGAGAGGGAACAAAAGAAAUUCACCAACAGAAUAGAAGAAUCAACAUAAUAAUGGGCAGUUAUGAUUGUUAAGAAAACCUCAACUCACUCCCCACUCCCAUCUGUAUUUUUAUUGCUGCAAUGCAAACAUUGCUAUCUACUUUCAGCUCAACUAAUCCCAAGUUUUGGGGAUGGCUGUUGACAUAUCUCAUGUCCCUGAACUCCUACCUAGGCCCCUGCUAAAGUUUAAGCAAAAGAUGUAGAUCCAAAAGGAAGAAGAGAGAUCUUUUUCUGCUCGAUCUAUCUGAUGUGCUGGCUUUUUGGAUAUUAGUUAUUUGUUCGAUGCUUUUCUACUAUAUAUAAGCCAUCUCCUUCCGCCAACUCAUUUGCUUGUGCUUUCUGUUUUUAAAUCAACUGUAUUCCCUAAGAUUCGAAGUUUUGAACUUGAGAGAAAGUAAAUUGUGUAAGAUAAAAUUGUGGAAAUCAUGUGGGCUUUGUUUGCUAAAUGAUGUUUCGGCCCUAGUAAAGAGUCCACAAUACAAGCAGCAGUUAAAGUGGCUACUUCUGGUGGCUGAACAUGUCCUGUGUAGGAAAUUUUUAAAGUCGUUUGGUUAUAAAGCAUCAAAAAGCAUUUCUAAAGGCUUUAGCGUAUGUUACAUUUCUUGUCCAAUAUUAUUUUGUUGUGUUGGACUUCAACUUUGUAAAUAAUUCAUUGCCUCCAUAUUUUCUUUGGUCAGAUCUGUGAUAAGUUUUCCCGUUAUAGUCUGACACCCCAGAUAGCGAGCCUUUUGGCUGUUCUGGAUUGUCUUUCGUUACUUUAUAGGGCUUUUUUUUUUUUCUUUUUUUAAAUUACUGAUAUUCCAUUAAAUACUCCUUUGUAGGUUGCAACAAUUGCUUGGUUUGAGGCAGAUUCCAUUUGUGGCAGUCAUUCUAUUGCUAUUCCUCUAGUGCUCGUCUUCCCAUAUCUAUGCCGUUUAUUCCAAUGUCUACGCCAGUACAAGGAUACUAAGGAAAAGACCUGCCUGUUCAAUGGUACAUCUAAUUAUAGACCGCAUUUAUGUCUCUUUGGGUAAUACUAAAUUGUAGUCAUUAUUUUCUCUGGUCCGCAGAAGUUGGGUUUGUCUAAUAUUUUUCAUUGUUUUGUGAUGGUAUUGAUAUAUCUAGAACAAAAUCAGAGGAUGGUAUUUAAUUAAGUAGUUUUGCAAUUUUUGUAGGACAACUGUAGGACAAUGUGUGGAACCUACAGCCACUGAAUGAAUGUCCAGGUUAAAGAUUGAAAUUGAAACAGUUUUAUUUGGUUAGCGGGAACUCGACCUGAAACUGGUCUGUAAUGUACUUCCAGCCUUAUGCACUAAGAUCACAAGAUCUGGCUAAUAAAAGUCAGCAAGCUCCAAAAUUCAGCCAAUCCCCAAUCUAGAUACUAAAUUUUACUCAUUUUAUAGCCCUAACAAUGCCAAUAAGGAACUGAGUACUACUUUUCUGUUCAUAUUGUGCAAUAUAUCUCUGUUUAGGAUAUCUCCAUUUGCAUAUGGAAUCAAUUUUUCUAUGUAUAUAUUAUUUUGAUCUCUGAAGCAGUACCGACUUUUUGUUCUUUCGAUGCAGUUAUAUCUACCAAACCUUGCUCGCUAAACCUUUGAUUAAUUUUCAUUCUUUGUCCUAAUUCUAUGUCAUAACAACGCUCUUUUCAUCGAUUGCUGUCCAGCUCUUAAGUACUCGACGGCGGUGCCAGUUAUUUUCCUUUCAGCCCUCAAGUACCAUGUCUUCCCUGAACAGUGGGUGAACUUCUACCGCCCACUUUGGCUUAUUUCUAGUGUUUUAAAUUCAUUGUACUCAUUUUAUUGGGAUAUCACCCGAGACUGGGAUUUGAGGUUCGCAAAUUCUUUCAAACUUGCUUAUUAGUUAGUAUUUAUUAUUUUAUUUUAUUUUAUUCUUGCUAAUGGCUUUGUUCCUUUACCUCCCUAGUAUUCUUUCUCGAGUCUUCAAGUUCAAGAACCCAAGUCUUAUCACAAGCUGUCUAUACGGGCGGAUAUGGGUAUAAUCCUCACCAAAGCAUAAAUUGUUGGUAAAAGUGCUUCAGUGCCCCGUAGUCUAUAUAUGUCCCUUAUCUUUGAGGAUUUUUUUAUCAGUAUCCCUUAACUUUCACUUUUUAAACUUUGAAUGCUUCAUGCCUAUUUUAGUGAAUCUGCCUUUUGAUUUAACAGCAAUUUUAGUACGUAAACAAUAAUUGUCUAAUGGAAUGUUUUGAGAUUGUCUUUGAUUCCUCAAGGCAAAACCAUUGAAAGUUUGAAACAAACGAAAGUGCUUAAAUUAAAAAAGAAGUGAGAGUAGAGGAAUGCAAAUAUCUAACAGAUAAGGGACCUAUAUCGAAAUGAAUUACAGGUGGAGGGUCCAUGUGUUUAGGCAGAUUACACCAUUGGUCACUGAACUUUAAUAUGAAGUUAACUUUGUUUAGCGAAUCAUGAUAUUACAGCAGAUUCAGUUGCCACGCCACCUCUUGGAAAUGAUGUGGUUGCUAAUUCAACCACUGUAUAUUUAUUGAAGAUAUGCAUGGUAGUCGAUUUUCUAUACCUUUGAGAUGAUGUGGCAAAUGAAUCAGUUGUGGCAUCAUUUACCGCAUCAUCUCCUGGUUGUUGAAUCAGCUGCCCUGCCAUCCCAUUUUUUUGCGGAAAUUACACCAUUUUUGGUCGAGUGACAUGUUUGAAGUAGAAACUGAGGUUCAGAGAUCAAUAACUUAUCUGCAGUACACGAUAAGUUUAGUGACCAAUGGUCUAAUUUAGUCCAAUGCGCCACUUUGAGCCAUCAAGUUAAUAGAAUAUCACUAUACGUAUUCUGUUUGUUAUUGAUUUGCAGAUCUAUUACUGGGUAAUCGGUAGCAACUUGGUUCUCCGGUGCACGUGGACCUACAAACUCUCGGCCCAUCUCCGGCACAACUACAUCACCGUAUUCACAAUAAUGGCUCUUGAAAUAGUGAGGCGGUUUCAAUGGAUCUUCUUCCGCGUGGAGAACGAAUGGAACAAGAUGACAAGCAAGCAAAAUAUCGAGCUCUCCACAGAUCUGCCCAAAGAGGAAGACCCUCUACUCAGCUCCGCCAAUCAUAGCGUAUAAAAUUCUUUGAAAUCUCAAAACUCUCUUCCCUACCCUUAUUGAUAUUAUUUGUUGAUUUUCCUACAUGGUUCUCUCGUUCAUUUUGGUGAAGCCCGAGUUUAAAAUCUCAUUCUUUUAUGGAUAAUAGGUCCACACCCACACCAGGUAGAUGCACUUAGCAUCUUUUCUACUUGUCGAAGAAGAUCAAUAUGCUUUUACUGUAGCAAAUAAUUCUUUGUUAACAUUCCAUAAAAAUAAAUAUCAGUUAAAUCUAUAUUUUAGUAUGUUACUUUUAUCAACGCUUCUGCUCUCUAACUCAUAUUUUGAUUCCCAUUUCGUAAAGAAAAUCUCAUUCUUCUACAUCAUGUAGAUUUUUAUUUUUUUCCCACGUAGUUACACUAUUGUUGUAGAAUGAUUUUUCGAUUUGGGUUUAGUUCAUUUUGUUGGUGUCAAGCACUGUUUGUUCUAAUUUGUGUGGAAUUUGCUUACAAAAUCAUUUUAGCUUUAACGGGAAAAUAAUCUUGGACGUAGCAAGUAAUCUAGCGAUGACAUUGGGAAAACCAGUUAGGAUCAAGGAUUAUUACUCUAUUUAAGUGGAAAUUCAAUGGACCCAAUUGUAUAAAGUUUUAAGAAGGAAAACGCUAUUGUAAAAUUUUUACGGGCAUAUUCUCUCUCCGAAUAUCUGAAACUGUAAAUUAGGGGUCUUUUUUACAUUUGUUUAGAUACUUUUAUAGCAAUUUAUUUUUAUUAAGACAAUGUUGAUGUUGAAGAUAGAAAAAGAAGUGAGGCCAAAUAUGUCUCAAAGUAUGAUAUGGGGCCGCAGGUUCUUAGCACAAGUGUCAAAGGAUUUUAGCUGGUGCUCCGAGUUCUAAAUUCGAAGUCUAGUUAUUAUAUAUUUUCAACUUAGUUUAGUUUUAAAAAUUAAAUCGUAUCGGUAGCACACUAUUUUUCUCUAGAGGAAGAUAAUUUCACAGAAGAGUAGUACAUAUAAAAACAUAAUGGGCUGUGAGAAAUUAGGAGCAAUCUCGUGCGCCAAAAAUGUAGAAAAAUAAUGCUAUUACAAGUUGGCCUUAAUUGUGGAAUAAUACUUUUACGUUUUGUAGUAGAAACUAGGAAAUAAUGCUGAGCAAAAUAUUCUAUAUGAAAUUGAUUUUGCCCUACAAAGAGUAAAUCUUAUCAAAACUUAGCUAUGUUAUUCAGCGAAAUCCCUUCAUAGUUGUUAUAUAUAGAUAUAAAUCUAAAAAAUAAUAUUAAUUUUAAAAAAACAAAGGCUUUAUAAUGCCAAAACUUAGCUAUGUUAUUCUGCGAAUUUCUUUGUAGUUCUUAUAUAUGGAUUUAAAUCUUUAAAAUAAUGUUAGUACAUCUUAUACAAAGUCCUAUGAGAUUUGGAGCAUGUGUAUAAUGGGUAAGAAAAAUAUAUGGGUAAUACUAUCUUGAUAUUUGACUUAGUUUCUGUACUUUUUACUUAAGGUUUCGUUUAGGAUUACAGAAAAAUUAUAUUAUGUGUUGUGAGAAAGUAUGAUAAAAAAUAUCUUAUUUGUAUCUAAUAUUGUGUUCUACAUAUCACAAUAAGUCGAUUACGAUAUAUUUUUUAUGAUCCAUCUUAAAACGCAGAAGUAUAUUUCUAUAUGUUUUCGUCCCACUUUACCUUUUAGCGUUAGAUGGACCUAAUAUCAAACAUGCCCUAACUCUCACUUAUAUUGCAAUAAGCUGUUUUGUAGGUGAGUAGGUACAACGUUUGUUAAUUUCUUCAAAAAGAAAAGUUGAGAGUUUUUAUGUUUAGAAACUAAACUGUAACAUGCAAAAUCAAUUUCAAAUGAUAAAAUAUCUAAAAUAAUUUUGCAGUAGCCAACUUGGGAUGGUACAUAACAUACUCAUGGAAUGUACUCAGAUUUUUAAUACUUUUAACCACACAAAAUAAGGUGCUUAAAUGAUAAGAAUGGCAUAUUACAUUUGUCGAAUCUAGUCAAAUUCAAUCAGUCAAUUAUAAUCAGAUUUAAUGAAUCUAUUUUUCAAUAUCAAGUUCUAAUACUUUACUAUUACAACCCAGGCCAAUUAACUAUAUGCGAUUUAAAGAUCAUCUAUAUGAACAGCUCCUGUAAGGUGGAGUCCAGUAAUCUGGGCCACUGCUCUCUUUGUAGACUUGAGGAGUGCAAGAAAUGGGAACUAAGCAGAGCCCUCUACUCCUUAGGCUGUCAAUCUUUAUUUCUGCCAUUUCCUUCCUUAUAUCCAACCCUCCCCAUGCAUUAUCCUGAAAAGGGACAAAAAAANGGAAAAAAAAAAACAUUAGUGCAUUAACUAAUUAAGUACCAGAACUUAUUUGGACUAUGGACUAUUUUGAUUUUGCUAUCCAAUAUCUCAAAAUUUUGAUUCUACUAUCCGACCUUUUAACUUGUUUAAUUUGAGUUAGUCAACCGCAGCUUGACUUCAACAUUUGAAUGUAUCGUUUAUUUUUUAUAGGUUUAUAUUGUAGAAUCCAUUAAUUUUUGCAACUAUAAAUUCAACGAACUAAGUAAUUAACUUAAGUUUUAAAGUUAAAGGACUGUUGACCGACUAAAAUCAAACAAAUUGAAAUUUUAGAUAGCAAGUAAAAUCAAAGAUUGAAAUGUUGGAUAGCCGAUUCAAAAUUGUCCAUAGUUCAUAUAUGUUAUGUACGUUUAUACCAUUAAUUACCUAGAAGGGAAUGAUAGAAGUACCGAUUAAAUUAUAUGAAAUAAUCGUUGUUUUUUAAAAACUUAAACAAACAGAAAAUCGUGUUUUUAAUAUUUAUAAUCAACACGGUCCAUCACAUCUGGAGUCGGCAUUUUUCGAUAAGCCCAAAACAUGGGCUUGAAUUAAAUAGGAAAAAAUUAAAUAAACGUGGGCUUGAAUUAAGUGGGGAGGAAACUAAAUAAUACUAGAAACUUGAUAACAUUUGAGUGAAGACAUUUUGUACGUACCAUUUUAAAUUAUAUGAAGUAAUUGCUAUUCUCGGAAAGCUUAAGUUACUAGAAAAUAAGAUUUUUGUUAUAUUCAACACUUAAGUAUCCAAAGAGUUUCUGGCCUAGCUAGUUUUUAAAACAACUUUUCUACUUCAAAAAUUAUUGGCUAAACAAUCCCUUUACCUUCUCCAUAAGUUGCUACGAACUUUAGGUAUGUAAAAGUAGGAGGUUGAAUUUAAAGCUUCUGUUUACAUUACUAGAAGAAAUUAAACUAGGAUUUGGAUAAAACAACUUCAUUGGUACCUUUUUAGUAAUUUUACUUCAUUGAAACUUCUGCAUAAGCUCUAAUUUGCUGCUUAAUUUUGUUUUAUUUUACUUUUUUAAUGCCUGUUUUCGGAGAGAGGUCAAAAUAAUUGAUGCUGCAGGGUCAAGAGUAGUGUACCUUGGUAGGGCUUGGCUUCAUGUAUGGGUCACUUAAUAACUGCAUGGAUAUAAUUAACCACAAGAGUUCAAAUUAGUCAUAUAUAUCUCACAAGAAAAAGCACCAAUUAGUUGAUCAUUAAAUUAGAGAUAAUGAUCAGCUGAGCUGAAUCAGGCUCUCCAUUGAGACAAAACUUAAUUAUUAUAUAUUCCCACAACACAACUUUCUUUUCUAAUUAGUGGCACCUCACUCAAAGCUUGUUCCAUCCAUGCAUGCAUGAAAGAUUAUUUUAUUUCAAGAACUUAUAGUGCAUAAUACUAAUAUUUCAAGGGAUAAUAUCACACCAAUAAUUGGCAAAAGUAUAUGAGAAUAAUAAUCAUGGUCAUUAAUUACAUGGAAAAUAAUAUGUAUAGCUAGAAGUGGAAGCCCUUAAUAUAUUGGUGCUAUAUUUAUAUAUACAUACCUGUACUUGCUCAUGCAAGAAUUUGAUAUACUUUAUUGCCUCAAGUAGUACUGAUGCUGUAUCAGUCUGUAAUAAUAUGAUUGUUUAAACAUAAGAGAAAGUAGAGAAGUUUAACUUGAAAACAUUGCUAUAUAUCCUUUUUAAUUCGAAAUGAAAACAUAAUGUUUGCUUAAUUACAACUAAGUAUAGUGCUUACCUUUCCAAAAGGUGACACAAUUUGCUGUAAUGCAGUAAUUUUAUCUGUUAGCUUGACUUUGGGCACCUGCAACUGUUUCCUCAAGAGAGAGAGAGAGAGAGAGAGAGAGAGAGAGAGAGAGAGAGAGAGUUCCAUCAAAGUUGAACGCAUGUACAUAUUUUGAUUCAAAAUGCACUUAAACUAAAUUUUCCAACCUAUUUGAAAAUAAAAAUCUGACUAGCUAGUACUUUUCGAAUCACCAGUGAAUUAAGCAAGUUAGAAACAAAAGUUAAUAGAAGCUAUAUAUAGAUAUAUAUAUAUAUAGAUAUGUUCCUAUAUAGGUUAAACCAAUUACCUUGAGAGAUGUUGCGGUCGGGCUCUCGCUUUUAAUCUUCUUGGCAAGUGUUUCUGAACUAUCUUCUGACCGUUUCUUCUUCCCGUCACUCGUCGUCCUGCUGCCCCUAUUAUUCACCCUUGUCUACGUACACGAACACAACAAUGCUUUAUUCAUUUAGCCAUUACAUUAUCCUUACUACGAAGAAUAUAGCGAAUGCGGUGUAUGAGAUAGUAUAUAUGCAAGAGGUACAAUUUUCCUUAAUUUGGUAGAGUUAUAUUUGCUCACCGAUGAAGUUUCUAAUCCUUGUUUCUUCUUCUCAAAUGGAUCUGAUAUUUUCCCAUAGGGAUUACUCGGGCCUCUUAGUUCGACCUCCGGUUUGCUUAAACACCCACUAAAAGAUAUAAAAUCCGACAAACUCCUCGUGUUCGACCACGGGAUAUCGGUCAUUAAUCCACUACAAAGCUUGUUAUUGAGUCCUAGAAUUGAAUUGUUGAGACCAAUUUGGUAUCCAAACUCUUGAUGAUGGCUAUCUUCUUUGUAACUCGUGCUUCCGUCGAUCAUUCCAUUGCAAGAAUCCAAUUGCGAAUGAGGAAUAACCUCGUGCUCGAUGUGAGAAAUACUUGGUGCCAAGUAUUGAGAAUGAACUGAAGGAUUAUCCAUAGAAACUUCGCACGAAGGUGGCGCGAUUCGAUGAUCGAUUUGAGGGUCGGGAGGAGCUAUAGACCAAUUGAUAACCAAGUUCGAUAAGUUGGUCAUCCGCUCGGGCUCAAGCAUGGUUCCGUCGUAGCUUCUCAUAAGCUCUUUUUGCAAGGUGUUGAGAGAUGGUGCAUUUGUAUUGAACUCCCAGGUGCUGUCCAUUUUCUUCAAGUAAUCGUAGGCCGGGUCGAACAUCUCCGAUGAUAAGCUUUUGGAACUAAGGUUUUCAAGGAAAUUCUCUCCACCAUGGGUGUUCUGCAUGUUCAUACUACUUCCAGCAUUUCUGAAAAAAGAAAAAAAAAAAAAGAAACAUGCUUAAAAGCUACUUUUUUAAAAUAUAAAUUUAACUUUAUCAUCAACUAAAAGUGAUUCAAAUUUAUAUCCAAAUACAAUCUAUGAAAUGUUCCAUCAUCUAACAAUAUUUUUAAUGAUAAUAAACAAACAAAGGAGAAAAAUUUAUGGCUAGCCAGUUAACCUAUAUCUUUAUGAGCAUUCAAUAUAUCAAUAAAAACCUAGUUGCAUCACUGCUUAUUAUGGUUUCAAUAGGGACCAUGCACUCAAGUGUUUAUGGUGCAUUUAAAAACCAAAGUUUCACGAAUUAAUAAUCUCCCUUUUUGAAAUUUCUAGCACAAUUAAGUCCUCCAAAUUAAGUAUUAAUUUGAAGCACUAACAUUAAAGCUAUUAGAUAUAUAUAACUUUUUCUCUUUUUCAAUCUCUUUCCAUUAGUUUGCUAAAAACUAUAUAUGAUCUAGUGCUGCAAUAUCCUUAGAUAUACACCAAAACCCUAGCCAACCUAACAUAUAUAUAACUCAUACCGACCGUCUCUAGCACAAGUGGCUAAGAACUUGAUGGUUGGUACCCGAGAUCCCAAGUUCGAAUUCUAAUUGCUUCACAUUUCUAACUAUAUUUAUUUAUAAAUAAAAUAAAUGAAGCGGGCAACGUACUGCUUAUCUCUCUCUCAAAAAAAAACAUAUAUAUAUAACUCAUAACCAUGAUCUGUAAACUUAAUUAUAAUAUACUCGCAAGAGAUCUUCUUCUUUUUUUUGUUUUUCCUUUUGAGGAUUAUACUCACAAGAGAACUUGGUUCCACAAGUGGGACUCUCCGGCCUCGCUGGACAACUUGAGAGGCCCCUGCGAUGCCAUGUCGAUGCCGACGUGUCCGCAGGGGUUGCCGUGGCGAUGAUCCGGGCGGUGCAGUAGUUGUUGCCAUGAUGAUGAUGAUGAUGACGACGACGACCUAUUGUUAUUCAUGGUGGUGUUGCUACAUGAGGAGAGGGAGGAGGAGGAGGAGGAGGAGUUCCCAUGCAUAUCCCACCAACUACUACUAAUGUUGUUGUUGGUUCCUCUACUAGAUGAGAUUAAUGUAACUGAGGAAGAAGCCUCUGAGUUCUCUUGAGCCAUGUAGUAAUAGUUGCAGUAGUAGUAGCGAAUCGUUUUAUUUGCAUGCGUACGUGUCGCACGUGUAUGAGUGUACGUAGUGGGAGUGAGUAUAUUGCUUUGGUUUCUCAUGAGUAUUGGUGGUGGCCGUGGUGGUGGUGGUGGUAUAGUAUUAGUAGUGGUUGUGAUGUAGUGCUGUAUAUGGAUCUGGGUCGGUGGAGAUUUCGUUCCAAUUCGUUCCAAAUAGAAUAGUAAAUGAGAGCCAAAAAUAAGAAAAAAAGAGAAAAAAUCUAUUUUGAAUUCGCUCCGAUCCGCUAAGAAAUGGAGCGGGACGUAGGAUCUUUUUCUAAUUCCUUUGAUCCAACCUGAUCCAUAAAAUGUCCGCUUCCGUCCUGACUUUUGUCUCCAAUAGAACGGUAAGUAAGAAUAGAGAAUAGUAUAAAAUUUAAUUCGCUCUGAAUUCGUACAAAAAUUCAUUCACCAAAAGAAAAAUGCCAACGAGGUGUGGGACCCCUUCCGCCCCAGGAUCAGCCCCCUUUGCAUCCCUGUUGUGGGGUGCUUUUAAGUAGGAGAGGUGCACACGUCAGCAUGACAUCAGAAAGUAGCCGUUUAUGUUUUUGGAGUUGAAAAAGUUUUGAAUUGUGGAAGAGAACAUUAAUUAAGUCAUUGUGUUUCUUUUCCACUAAGGGAUGUGCAGUGGGGCAAUUAUUCUAGGGUUGAUUUGGGUCCUUGUAUGAGGGGGGAGUAUGGUGGAUUAUUGGUGGUGGUGGUGGUGGUGUCUCUCUCUCUCUUUCUCUCUCUCUCUCUCUCUAGGUUUAAUAUAUAUGUUCAUACAAUAUCAUUGUAUCUUACAAUUCUUAAUUUAUAACCAAAUUAUUUGGUAAAGAGAAUAAUUGCAAGGACAACACCAUCCUUUCAAGUUAAAAUGCUUUCAAUAUAUCAUGUUUUGUGCUUACUCCCAAAAUAGAAAAUCUGGAAGUAAAUAUAGUUGUUUAUUUUCGUCAAAUAUGAGUUAGCUAUUUGAACUUCCUAUAACUGAAUUCAAUAAUUUUACGUUAUUAUUUACCUGAUGGCUACAUGGCCUCAAAUUUGUCUUAUAACCAAUGAUGAAACCACCUAAAUAUAAAGUAGAUUAGUUAAGUUUAUAAAUUACGAAAUUUGCUUUUCGGAAAGUUCGAAUAGCAUAAAUCAUAUUUAACAAUGUCGAUCGUCUAUUCGAGUGCUUUUAUCAUUGACACUAAUGUGAAAGUAAAUGAUCCUACUUACUUCUAGCAAUUGUAUUUUGGCCUAUCUCAAAAUUAUUAUGUGCUUUGCACGUCUAUAUGAUACAGUGAUUGAAAUCGAGAAUGUUGAUGUUGACAAAACUUGAAUUCAACAUACAACCCAUUAUUUGCCAAAAUUUUAUUAGGCAGAUGUAUAAGAGCCAAUUUCUUUUUUUUAUGUAAGUUUGAUCACUUUUUUUUUCAUUACUAAAAACUCAAAAAGAUUUCUAACUUCUGGGAUAUUUAUAUAUAAUUUUACGAUAUACAUCUCAACAGUAGAUGAUCAAGUAGCAUUGCGCAUUGUAUUAAAAGUUUAAUAAAAGCUAGUAGGAGUUGAGGAUACAAGAUGUCCAAUUAAUAGUUCUACUUUUGAAGCUUACUAAGCCGUAAUUCGGUAAAGUGGAGCCUAAAUCAUCAUUUUUAUACUACAGAAGGCAAAAAAUAAAAAAAUAAAAAAAAUCUAAAAGUACUUUCAGUCAUUUCGUUUUUUACACGUUCUUCUCUGAUAGAGUUGCAAUCGUAAUUUUUAAGUAUUGGAGGAGAAAAAAUUGUAAGUGCUUUAUUACGAAACUAGAUCUAAAAGGGCUAUAGCUAGUAGCCCCUUUUAUAUACUUUUAUUCUCCUGCUAACUUCUUAUAUUUAGGUUAAUGAGUUUUCUAUCACUAAUUGGUUAAGUAAUUUAAUUUGGACCAUUGUGGGUCCUAGUUGUUUAGUGCAUGCUUUCUCCCUUGAAAAGAAAUAAAAGUUUUGUUAAUUAAUUAAUUCUUCAUUGGAAACCAAAGAUGAUACCAUAGGGUAUUAGUGUACUUGUAUAUAUAUUAACACUAUAACAAAAACGGUCUAUAACGACACUUUGAAAUAUAGGUACAUGUCAAAAAAGUGCUGCUAGCUAAAAUUACCGACACUUUUAAAAAGUGUUACUAUCUGUGGGGUCGCUAGGUAUAUAGUGACAGUUAAAGAGUGUCGCUAUAAUCUAAAAGAGUGCUGCUAAUUUACCAACACUUAUUUAAGCAUUUAGCAACCGCCGAAACUCUAUCUCGUUAGCUGCGGUAGCGGAGGAGGACGACAGGAAAGGCUCUUCGUCUAGAAUUUCAGUGGAUUGAGUGAAGAGAGAAGAAAAGAUGGUAAUUAAUUUUUUUUUUUCUUUUCUGUUUGUAAUCGGGCCAAAUGGACUGGGUGUGGUGGGUUGAGUAGAGUAAUCUUUUAUUUUUGAUUGGAUUGGGUUUUAUAUUUAGGCAUUAAUAGAUAUUUUUUAAAGUUUUAGAAUAAAUGGGACACUUACUCAAAAGUGUGAGUAAGUGUCUCAAAUAUGUGUCCCUAUAAUCUAAUUCUGUUGUAGUGUAAUGGGUUUAUGAAAACCCUAACCCUAAUCAUUAC